Molecule: long non-coding RNA, 1207 nt
Filed under: Urocitellus parryii (Arctic ground squirrel)
Lineage: Eukaryota; Metazoa; Chordata; Mammalia; Rodentia; Sciuridae
Description: lncRNA (ENSUPAG00010003104.1)
Source: RNAcentral
GCCGCAGCGAAGGGAAGGAGGGCGGUGUCGGAGGCAGCCAGGGGUGUGCGCGGGGCUCCCGAGGCUAGCGCCGUCUCUUCCCUCAGCACCCGGCACCGAGACUAAGGUGGGAGAAGCUGAGGGUGGCGGAGCCGGAACCGCAGAAGCGUCUGGGACCUUUCACACGCAGCGCCCCGACUCCCAYAGCUGCCGCCGCCGCAGCCCAACCUGCUGAGUGCGCGAGCCUCUGGCGCGGCGCGGGGCGAGCCCGGGCGCGAGCCAGUCGCCCAGCCGGCCGCCGGCGUGCGUGCGUGAAUGCGUGCGCGCCACCGCCAGCACCUUCCUGGUGUAGCGGCUCUUUCAGCUCCUCCCGCACCGCAGAGACUAGGGCUGGCAGGACUUCGACUGGCGUCGGGAGAAGCAAAGAGGCGGGGCAAGUCAGGGAGUUUCGUAACUACCAGAAACAGGGCCUGCUCAUUUUGGAGAUGAGGAAACUGAAGCCCAGAAGGUGGAAAUGACUUGCAAAAUCCACAAAGCUAUGAAAUAGAACCUAGGUUUUCUCUUGUGAACUGCGGCCACCUUAUUGAUGAACCCGUCCACUUCCCCAGCCUAACUUUUCUUGGUCCUCUGUUACAUACCCUUGUUCCUCAGAUGUUGAUGACUCUAGGUGAUGCCCAUCUUCUACCUUGCUAGAAAUGGGUUUAGAUAUCAGAUCACAGUUGAUGAAACAGGCUCAUGCAACAAGCAAAAGGUCACAGAACAAAUCCGAGGGAAAGCCUGAACUAGAACCCAAAUCUGGGUAAGGGAAUAUUUUAAAAAUCAUCCUUUCCUCCUAAAGGAGUGCUUCUGAAUAUGGGUGGACCUCUCUUAUAUUAGCUAUCUGAAGCAUGUGAAUUUUUAUGUGGAGAGGAUCCAUAGCUUUUAUCAGAUUUUCAAUCUGAUUCAUAAUCCAAAAAACUGGAGGCGAAUGGCCCAACCAAGAGGAACCUUAAGAGACAUGACAAUUAAGUGUAAUGUGAACAACUAACAUGACACAUUAACAUGAUUCUAACAUGACAAUUGGCAGAACAAUUAAAUAUAAUUUUUCAGUAAGGAGUGGUGAAGAAUGCCUGUAAUCCCAGAGACUAGGGAGGCUCGGGCAGGAGGACUGCAAGUUCAAGGCCCUAAGCAACUUAGUAAGACCCUGUCUCAAAAUAAAAAAUAAAAAGGACUGGGGUGUGGCUCCGUG